AAUGGGCGGAAGCCUGAACCAGCCAUGCCGCGUGCGGGAUGAAGGCCCUACGGGUUGUAAACCGCUUUUCCCCGGGAAGAAUAACCCCGAUGAGUCGGGGGAUGCCGGUACCGGGGGAAUAAGGAUCGGCUAACUCCGUGCCAGCAGCCGCGGUAAUACGGAGGAUCCGAGCGUUAUCCGGAUUUACUGGGUUUAAAGGGUGCGUAGGCGGCCCUGCAAGUCAGCGGUGAAAUGUGGCGGCUCAACCGUUUCGCUGCCGCUGAUACUGUAGGGCUUGGAUGCGGUCGAGGCGGGUGGAAUUCGUGGUGUAGCGGUGAAAUGCAUAGAUAUCACGAGGAACGCCGAUAGCGAAGGCAGCUCGCCGGGCCGCGAUCGACGCUGAGGCACGAAAGCGUGGGGAUCAAA
Molecule: ribosomal RNA, 405 nt
Filed under: uncultured bacterium
Lineage: Bacteria
Description: bacterial SSU rRNA
Rfam family: Bacterial small subunit ribosomal RNA
Source: RNAcentral